This 732-nucleotide ribosomal RNA is filed under the name Streptomyces sp. Its description in RNAcentral is "bacterial SSU rRNA". It matches the Rfam family "Bacterial small subunit ribosomal RNA", at positions 105 to 848 of the family's 1533-position model. The record is from RNAcentral. Lineage: Bacteria; Bacillati; Actinomycetota; Actinomycetes; Kitasatosporales; Streptomycetaceae.
GGUGAGUAACACGUGGGCAAUCUGCCCUUCACUCUGGGACAAGCCCUGGAAACGGGGUCUAAUACCGGAUACGACUACCGACCGCAUGGUCUGGUGGUGGAAAGCUCCGGCGGUGAAGGAUGAGCCCGCGGCCUAUCAGCUUGUUGGUGGGGUGAUGGCCUACCAAGGCGACGACGGGUAGCCGGCCUGAGAGGGCGACCGGCCACACUGGGACUGAGACACGGCCCAGACUCCUACGGGAGGCAGCAGUGGGGAAUAUUGCACAAUGGGCGAAAGCCUGAUGCAGCGACGCCGCGUGAGGGAUGACGGCCUUCGGGUUGUAAACCUCUUUCAGCAGGGAAGAAGCGAGAGUGACGGUACCUGCAGAAGAAGCGCCGGCUAACUACGUGCCAGCAGCCGCGGUAAUACGUAGGGCGCAAGCGUUGUCCGGAAUUAUUGGGCGUAAAGAGCUCGUAGGCGGCUUGUCACGUCGGAUGUGAAAGCCCGGGGCUUAACCCCGGGUCUGCAUUCGAUACGGGCAGGCUAGAGUUCGGUAGGGGAGAUCGGAAUUCCUGGUGUAGCGGUGAAAUGCGCAGAUAUCAGGAGGAACACCGGUGGCGAAGGCGGAUCUCUGGGCCGAUACUGACGCUGAGGAGCGAAAGCGUGGGGAGCGAACAGGAUUAGAUACCCUGGUAGUCCACGCCGUAAACGUUGGGAACUAGGUGUGGGCGACAUUCCACGUCGUCCGUGCCG